GCACGGCUAAAAAUAGCUUCCGCGGAAGCCGCGGAAGCCGCCCGGCCUUAAGGCGCACUCUCAGCUGGCGCGCGUCCCCGCCGCCGGGGCUCGGGCUUCUGCGUUGAUUGCUGCAGCGGGGACCCGAGCCCUCCGCGUCCUGCUAGGUUCCUGCCCACACUCGGAAGCCCACUCGGGAUGAGGACAUUGAAGUUUGGAGACAGAUGCUCAUCCCUUGCCUAGAAUAACAUCGUGUUGAACCCAGGGUCUGCCAGACUAGAAACUCCCGUGCUUUCCACAUAACCUGUUCUCCUGAGUCAACAGGUUUUACAUGAGGAAAGAAAAGAUUCUCAAAAGAAGAGAAACUGUCCAGUUAGCGGGAAAAAGAAUAGAAGAUGCUUGCAAGAUAGAACUAAUAGAUAUCCACGAUGUUCAUUGACUGGCCUGUUUUCUCCUGGACAAAAAAGAAAAAAAGACUGCAAGCCGGUGAGAUAUCAGUUGAUUUGAGUUAUUCAGAAAUGAGCAAAAGAAUAAUGAUGCUUUGAAGUGGAUUUUGUCCUAUCUCUUUUUAGACUCAGAUGCUUUGAUUUGCCUGCAGAAAGGUAACAGUGAGUCCCCUCCUUGUUCCCUUUUCAUCUGUUUCAGGUUACUUCCAAGGUGGUGCCACU
Nycticebus coucang (slow loris) is the source of this 647-nucleotide long non-coding RNA. RefSeq lists it as uncharacterized. Lineage: Eukaryota; Metazoa; Chordata; Mammalia; Primates; Lorisidae. The record is from RefSeq and is a predicted model, not a curated record. The transcript is spliced from 3 exons.